This 446-nucleotide ribosomal RNA is filed under the name uncultured bacterium. RNAcentral describes it as "partial 16S ribosomal RNA". It matches the Rfam family "Bacterial small subunit ribosomal RNA", at positions 338 to 795 of the family's 1533-position model. The record is from RNAcentral.
CCUACGGGUGACAGCAGUCGAGAAUCAUUCACAAUGGGGGAAACCCUGAUGGUGCGACGCCGCGUGGGGGAAUGAAGGUCUUCGGAUUGUAAACCCCUGUCAUGUGGGAGCAAAUUAAAAAGAUAGUACCACAAGAGGAAGAGACGGCUAACUCUGUGCCAGCAGCCGCGGUAAUACAGAGGUCUCAAGCGUUGUUCGGAAUCACGGGGCGUAAAGCGUGCGUAGGCUGUUUCGUAAGUCGUGUGUGAAAGGCGCGGGCUCAACCCGCGGACGGCACAUGAUACUGCGAGACUAGAGUAAGGGAGGGGGAACCGGAAUUCUCGGUGUAGCAGUGAAAUGCGUAGAUAUCGAGAGGAACACUCGUGGCGAAGGCGGGUUCCUGGACAUUAACUGACGCUGAGGCACGAAGGCCAGGGGAGCGAAAGGGAUUAGAUACCCGAGUAGUC